RNAcentral lists this ribosomal RNA (1475 nucleotides) under uncultured bacterium. RNAcentral's name for it is "bacterial SSU rRNA". It matches the Rfam family "Bacterial small subunit ribosomal RNA". The record is from RNAcentral.
GAGAGUUUGAUCCUGGCUCAGGACGAACGCUGGCGGCACGCUUAACACAUGCAAGUCGAACGAGAGAAGAGGAGCUUGCUUUUCUGAUCUAGUGGCGGACGGGUGAGUAACACGUGAGCAAUCUGCCUUUCAGAGGGGGAUACCGAUUGGAAACGAUCGUUAAUACCGCAUAAUAUAAUUGAACCGCAUGAUUUGAUUAUCAAAGAUUUAUCGCUGAAAGAUGAGCUCGCGUCUGAUUAGCUAGUUGGUAAGGUAACGGCUUACCAAGGCGACGAUCAGUAGCCGGACUGAGAGGUUGAUCGGCCACAUUGGGACUGAGACACGGCCCAGACUCCUACGGGAGGCAGCAGUGGGGAAUAUUGCACAAUGGAGGAAACUCUGAUGCAGCGAUGCCGCGUGAGGGAAGAAGGUUUUAGGAUUGUAAACCUCUGUCUUCAGGGACGAAAAAUGACGGUACCUGAGGAGGAAGCUCCGGCUAACUACGUGCCAGCAGCCGCGGUAAUACGUAGGGAGCGAGCGUUGUCCGGAAUUACUGGGUGUAAAGGGAGCGUAGGCGGGAUCGCAAGUCAGAUGUGAAAACUAUGGGCUUAACCCAUAAACUGCAUUUGAAACUGUGGUUCUUGAGUGAAGUAGAGGUAAGCGGAAUUCCUAGUGUAGCGGUGAAAUGCGUAGAUAUUAGGAGGAACAUCAGUGGCGAAGGCGGCUUACUGGGCUUUAACUGACGCUGAGGCUCGAAAGCGUGGGGAGCAAACAGGAUUAGAUACCCUGGUAGUCCACGCCGUAAACGAUGAUUACUAGGUGUGGGGGGACUGACCCCUUCCGUGCCGCAGCAAACGCAAUAAGUAAUCCACCUGGGGAGUACGACCGCAAGGUUGAAACUCAAAGGAAUUGACGGGGGCCCGCACAAGCAGUGGAGUAUGUGGAUUAAUUCGAAGCAACGCGAAGAACCUUACCAGGUCUUGACAUCGUAUGCAUAGCUCAGAGAUGAGUGAAAUCUCUUCGGAGACAUAUAGACAGGUGGUGCAUGGUUGUCGUCAGCUCGUGUCGUGAGAUGUUGGGUUAAGUCCCGCAACGAGCGCAACCCUUACUGUUAGUUGCUACGCAAGAGCACUCUAGCAGGACUGCCGUUGACAAAACGGAGGAAGGUGGGGAUGACGUCAAAUCAUCAUGCCCCUUAUGACCUGGGCCUCACACGUACUACAAUGGCUGUAAACAGAGGGAUGCAAAGCCGCGAGGUGGAGCGAACCCCUAAAAGCAGUCUUAGUUCGGAUUGUAGGCUGCAACCCGCCUACAUGAAGUCGGAAUUGCUAGUAAUCGCAGAUCAGCAUGCUGCGGUGAAUACGUUCCCGGGCCUUGUACACACCGCCCGUCACGCCAUGGGAGUCGGUAACACCCGAAGCCUGUAGUCUAACCGCAAGGAGGACGCAGUCGAAGGUGGGAUUGAUGACUGGGGUGAAGUCGUAACAAGGUAGCCG